RNAcentral lists this long non-coding RNA (349 nucleotides) under Corvus moneduloides (New Caledonian crow). RNAcentral describes it as "lncRNA (ENSCMUG00000018744.1)". The record is from RNAcentral. Lineage: Eukaryota; Metazoa; Chordata; Aves; Passeriformes; Corvidae.
CCGGGCGGUGCCGCGGCGCGAUGCGCGGUGCAGGUGAGCGGCCGAGCAGCGCCCGCGGCCGCCGCCGCGUCCCGAGAGGGCGCCGAGGUUACUUCGAAACCCGGCGGGGUCGCGCCUGCAUCGCACCAGUGCUGUUCGGAGCGGAGGAGGCUUAUCCGAGUGCUUUGCGAGCAAGUACUGAAAGUUUCAGGCCGGAGGUUUUCCUGUGCUCUCCGUAGCUGCUGCCCAGUGCUGCCCUGAGGAGAAGCAGUGUUGUGAAGGCGGGUGCUGCCCUGAGGGAAAGCAGUGGGAAGGCUGCUGCUCCUUGCCUACAGGGUGUCAGGGCCAGGCUCAUCGCAAGGCCUGCUGG